CCGAAUCGUCAACAAGAGUUGUUGCUGGUCCUCAAAAAAAGGGGGACAUGUGCACGCUCUGUUCACACAUCCACUCACACCAUGUGCACCCUCUGUAGUUCUAUGGUCGGGGGGCCUGUCCUCCUGCUGUGGUUCUGCUUCUUUACACACACGCUGUAACAAAGUCUUAUGGAAUGCAUGCCGCGUUUAACGCAAUACAAUA
This 202-nucleotide unclassified non-coding RNA is filed under the name uncultured fungus. RNAcentral describes it as "sequence contains ITS1, 5.8S rRNA gene". The record is from RNAcentral. Lineage: Eukaryota; Fungi.